This 412-nucleotide ribosomal RNA is filed under the name uncultured bacterium. RNAcentral's name for it is "bacterial SSU rRNA". It matches the Rfam family "Bacterial small subunit ribosomal RNA", at positions 505 to 916 of the family's 1533-position model. The record is from RNAcentral.
GUGCCAGCCGCCGCGGUAAUACGAAGGGGGCUAGCGUUGCUCGGAAUUACUGGGCGUAAAGGGCGCGUAGGCGGCCCUGCAAGUCAGGCGUGAAAUUCCCGGGCUCAACCUGGGGGCUGCGCUUGAGACUGUGGGGCUAGAGGCCGAGAGAGGGUGGUGGAAUUCCCAGUGUAGAGGUGAAAUUCGUAGAUAUUGGGAAGAACACCGGUGGCGAAGGCGGCCACCUGGCUCGGUACUGACGCUGAGGCGCGACAGCGUGGGGAGCAAACAGGAUUAGAUACCCUGGUAGUCCACGCCGUAAACGAUGUGCGCUGAAUGUUGGGGUUCCUAGAACCUCAGUGUUGUAGCUAACGCGGUAAGCGCACCGCCUGGGGAGUACGGCCGCAAGGUUGAAACUCAAAUAAAUUGACGG